ACUAUCGAGUUUGGAACUUGGGGCGUGUAUGUGUGUGUGUGGCAGGGGGUUACAGGGUGGUUGGGGUAAAAGAGGUGGUGUCAGUUGUGUAUAGGGGGUGGACAGAAAUCCUCCAGCCUUAUUCCACUGAGGUAUGGGAGGCAAGCUGGAGUUGUAUGGUGUGAGUUUGGUGGAUCAUUUUCUUUGUCGUUUUUUGGAGAUUUGGGUUGUGGGAUUCCACUGGCACUAAGACAGUAAGCACCUUAAAACUAAAUGCACUUUAUCAAGAUUGGGAUUCUGACGAGGGUUAUAUAUAUAUGGUAUAUAUAUAUAGUAUAUAUUAUUAUUUGUGUGUGUGUGUGUGUGUGUGUGUGUAGGUGUGUUUGAAUUUCUGUUGUUGCUUGGGUUUUAUUUUACAUGCGAACACAUCAUCCAUGUGUGUAGAAGAGGGAUGUGAGCUAGCCCUCUCACCCUGCAACGUGAAUGUGUGUGUCCGUCACAACUGGAAAGUGUUUUGUUUUCGUUUUGUUUUGUUUUUCUCUUCCUGAUCUAUGACUGGGGUUUAAGAAGUGAUUGAGUGUGAGUGUGUGAGUGUGUGAGUGUGUGAGUGUGUGAGUGUGUGAGUGUGUGAGUGUGUGAGUGUGUGAGUGUGUGUGUGUGUGUGUGUGUGUGUGUGUGUGUGUGUGUGUGUGUGCGUGUGCGUGCACGAUGGGGGUUGGUGUAUAUAUGUGUGAGUAGGCCUAGAAUACCAGAGGGACCGAUGGUUUCUGUUUAACAAACAAACAAAAAAAAAACCCUAUCAGACAAACAAAAUCCUUUCUUGAAAGACACUGUUUAUUUUCUACAUUUCUAUAAAAGGUAAAGCUAUUAAAAUGAUUUAAAAACUUGAAUAUUUGCACUUGCAUAAAAAAUAAUAAGAAAAAACAAACAAAAAAAGUCAAAGUUUAUAUAGAUGAAUAUUUUUGUGAAUGUGUUUGCGUGAAUUUAAAAGUGUGUGUGAGGUUGUGCUUUUUUUUUAUAAAGUAUGUAUGAGUGUGAAUGUCUUACUGAAGUGUGACCGAAAAUAAUGUCGGCACAAUUUUUUCUUUUUGUUCUCGGUUUGCUUACCAAGAUUUGUGAAACCAACGUGAGGCCAUUUUGUCAUUUAGUUUAAAUGAGUUUUACUUUGUUUAUUUUGUAUUUCUGUCAAAGAAUGUCUGUGUGGUCUCUUCUGAAGUGUGUGAGUGGAGUGCAGGUGUGUGUGUGUGUGUGUGUGUGUGUGGCACAGACAUGAAGGUGAGGGAGGGCAAUAGAACAGUGCAUCCUUUUUUUUUUCACCAGCACUCAUCCCCAGGUUGUAUUUUUUUUUUUUUCCCUCUCCUUUCAUUUGCAACCGAACUGGUAUGGGUGCCACCUUCUUUGCCAUUAGCCAACACUUGUUUACCUGCUUACCUGUUCUUUUGGUGGGAACUAGGAAGGUCUGGAGGUAUGUGUGUAUGUGUAACAGUCUCCAUGAUCUGUCACCACGGUUUCGCUUUCUGCAUCUAAGCCACUCGACCACAACUCUGUGCCUCUGUGAGGUUCCAGUAGCAGAAUGGGAUUGAGGUGGACCUUGAAUCUGUGUGUGUGUGUGUUUGUGCGCAUACGGCUGUGCGUGUUAAGCAGAAUGAGGUAUCAUAAGAGGUACUCAUUGAAUGAAUGUGAUGUGAUUUUUGUUUGCGAGUGUGUGUGUGUGUGUGUGUAUGUGUAUGUGCAUUUCCACAAGUGUGCCUAUGAACUAAAAAGGGUCACAGUUCGCCGCAGCCAUGGAGAUUUAAGGCGGUUAUUAUGGGGUGGCGGAGCUGUUUUGAAUCUGUGCCUCAAUGGCUUACUAACCAUGAGAUCUUGCACGACGUGCUGUCUGAUCAUUCUCCGUGGGGCGUAGCACAGUCUGGAGAUGGUUCAUUUGAAAAAGGAAAAAUUAAAAAAAAGUAGUCCAGUUUGAUUUCUCCACGGGGAUGUGAGCUUGUUGCCUUUUGUCCGCUCUCUUGCUCCUGGGCGAUUGAGUAAUUCUGAUUGUGAUCUUUGCUCUAAAAGUUCAAAAAAGUAAAAAAAAAAAAAUGUAAAAAAAAUAAAAUAACUUGGCAUCAUACUGUGCAAAGUGCACAAAUAAGGUGCACACAAUGUUAGUAAAUUGUUACGUAUUCAUUGUUGUUGCUAUUGUUGUUGAUUUCUUUUUAUAUAUCUCUAUAUAUAAAGAAAUAUAUAUGCAUUAUAUUCAAAGUUAAAAGUAUUUGGACUAAGGUUAAGCACUUGGGGCUGCUAUUUUUUUUCCUUCAGUUUCAUUGCCACCAUGUGAAGUGUUGUAUUAUUUCUUUCUUAAAAAAAAAGAAAAUGUUUGAAUGUAUUCCAAAAAAAAAAAAAAAAGGACAGGAGAAAAACCUGUGAAGCCGGAAGAUUUUUUUCCUUUCUGUUCUCCGAUACUUCAAGAUACAAACGUGGAGAACCAAAAAGUGUUGAAAGGCAACAAAGAGGCUCAUGGGAUUGGAAUCCUGUUUCUCACUCUGCUUUUGGAUUAUCUCAUCUUACUUGUGGACAAAGAAUGGACGCUUGAUUGAACACACUGCCUCUUACAGUCCUGUUAAUAACAAAACAAAAAAAAAAAACAAUGUCAUGAUGAAAUACAUUAAGAAUCUGACUUUUUUUUUUAUUCCUUACUGGAUAUUUCAUUUUUGUUGUUUACAAACCAUGCGGAUUACUUUGGAUGCAGUUUUGGAUUUUGACUGGGGAAAAGUAAACAUGGGGUGGGAGAUGGAGGUAGACAUGGAGGUGCUGUAAAGACUGUUCAGGAAGCGACCGUUGACAGACGUCGCUCCCUCUAGUAGGUAUUUCACCAUCACUGUCAGGCCCCCUCCUGUUGUCAGACCUCCCCUGAUGGGUGAUAAUAUUGUUGCAAAGAACAUUGCAGAUCAUUGCAUAUAAGAUUGUCUCAAGCGUUUUUGUUUGUUUGUUUGUUUGUUUGUUAGUUACCUGGGUGCCCAAUGGUGGAAAACCUCAUUUUCAUGGUAGCCAUUUGUGUUUACCGAUUUUAAGUCCUUAACUUCCCCGCCCUCCAUUUUGAACUGAAUGAAUCAUUGUGGUCAGGACUGGAGAAAUUCAAUAAGCAUUCACAAACAGAGCACACCAGAAUUUGUAGGUACAAGGAAUCAGAAAUGCAUCUAGAAAGAACCCCCAUUUUUGAUGCUUCUCCCCACCCUACAUUCUUUCAAGGACUAACUCCUGGCUUAAGCAUUUUGUUUUCUUUUUGAGAAGCAACUCCAGGAACUAUGGGACAUGUCUUAUGGUGAAAAGAAAAAAAGUCUGAAUCCUGUAGAUAUGUAAUCCAUGAAUGACCUCAAGCCACCUACCAUCGAUCGGGCAGUUUGUGCAAAUAGAAGAAGAAAAGUCAACUCACCCCUAUCCAAAAUCCCCAUCCAUCGAGGGUUUGAAAAAGGUGUUUUUGUUAUGGGCAAUUCCUAUUAAUCAUGAGGUAGUCUAUGCAAAGGACUACCAGGAUGUUUCCCAAACCCUCAUGCUUACAAACAAUAGACACUGCCCUGGCACACUUGCUAUGCACUUUUUCUUUCGUUGAAACUGUGAGGUUCAUCUGCAUUGGGAGGGGAGCACCAAGUUUUGUGCCCACUCCCUUCAUACAAAAUGAAUAAGUAAAAUUGAAAAAAAAAAAAAAAAAAACUGAACUCUUGGAGGGAUGAAAGAAUCCCAUCACCUCCUUUGUAUAUUGACAUAUUUUUGUACAACCUUCUGUUUGAAAGAAGAAAUAUGUGGGGAAAGAUUAAAACGGGUUUGAGGCGACAGAUGAAGGAAUCUCAUUAUACAUCAACAACUAUGAAUGUUUCUCCAAACAGUUUUUAUACAGCAGGCUGAAAAUUUGGGGGAGGGGGGGGACGUACAUGGAUCUUGAGUCCCCGUUAUUGUUGAAUGCGGGGAGGACAUUAAAAGAGCAUGAAUGGGACAUAUUGCUGAAUAGUACAAGCAAAGCCAGAUUGUCACAGUACCACAGAUUGGCAAUGACUGCGCACUCUGUCCUGCAUACUCACACUGUGGGAAUCGGUCAGGAUCUGCAGACAUACCUGAGAAUGAGUGGAGUCCCUUCAAUGAGUCCCCUCAAGACUUGUGAAUAGUCUGAAAAUGUGGUUGAUGGAAUUGAAGACGUUCCUGACAUCCAUCAUCCUUCGCAGAGCCUUGAAAAGAUUUCGGUUGGACCUGCAGGACCAUCAAAUUGGAUGGUCUUGAUCCAUGGACUUCAGGAACCAGAGCAUCUCUUACUCCUUUCCAUCCUUUCUUACCCCUUCUCUACACCCUGUCUCCACUCUCUUACCCCUUCUCUACACCCUUUCUCCACACUCUAUUACCCCUUCUCUACACCCUUUCUCCACACUCUCUUACCCCUUCUCUUCACCCUUUCUCCACACUCUCUUACCCCUUCUCCUUUCUCCACACUCUCUUACCCCUUCUCUACACCCUUUCUCCACACUCUUACCCCUUCUCUAAACCCUUUCUCCACACUCUCUUACCCCUUCUCUUCACCCUUUCUCCACACUCUCUUACCCCUUCUCUACACCCUUUCUCCACACUCUCUUACCCCUUCUCUUCACCCUUUUCCAGCCCCCUCAUACUCCUCCUUCCAGUUUCCUUUCUUUACCUCCUCCAGAGUUCAAAAGGAUGGCUUAGGGCCAAUAGAAACAUGUUAGAAGAUUGAAGAGAACACCUGAUCAUUGGCCACAAAGCUGAACCAGAUAACUCUGAUGAAGUCGAGGGUCCUAGUGUAUCAGCUACUUCACACAGUCACUCUGGACUACUGCCCUUUCCUGCCCUCCUCGACUCUUAGUCUUUUCUCUCGGUGACCUUGGAGGACAACCAGAAUCUACAGAGUUGGAAGUUCAGAUCUAUUGGGGAGAUGGUCACCUCGGCUUUGAGGAACAUAACCUUGGACAAAUCGAGGAAAUGCUUGAGGACAAAAUCCUUGCCGAAUAAAAGACAUUUGGUUGGGUCUGUGCGACUGGACGUGUCCUGUUAUCGGAUGGAACUCUGAAGGGAGUGACCCAACCAACCAAGACCUUGACUGGCAUACGGCUAUUUCCUAGACCGACACCUUUAACUGCAGAGGGUCUAGAAAGAUGCUCCUUUACACCUUUAUGUGUGGAGAUACUGGGUGCCAAUGGCGAUGGCUCUGAUGUCAGUACAAAGCAGAUGCCCAUGCAACUAGAGCUUGCAUUGUUACUCUUCCUGCAUACAUGUACAGAACACACAGACAAACAAGCAUAACAUUUUACAUAUUUCAUAGCCAAGUGAAGUUUUCUCCACACAGUUUUCAACAAAUAGCAAGGUUAUUGAACCGCAUUUGGCCUAUUUGGCCAAAAGCACCAUAUUAAUGUUAAACCCCCAGAAAGCAUGUGUAUGGUCACUGGAAGGUGAUGUGACCAUAUAUUCUGAUUGUUGUAAAUGUAGUGGACAUCCUUAAAUAUAUUGGCCUAGUCCCACAAAGGUCUUCGCUGCUUCAGUUAGUUGACCUCAUUAGACCACUAGACAUCCACAGGUUACACACAUCAAAAAACCCUUAUAUACAAACACAUACAAACUCCCCACAGACAUCGUUGCAGACAUAUACACACUGUCAGACACAUAGGAUACACACAUACUUAAACACCUUUUGAUAGGUGGAAUCUGUAAAUAGUGUACAAAGUUGUAUCCAUUUUGCCAUUUUUUUCUUAACAUGUCUUUAUUUUCCUGAUCAACAUGCCUUAACUGUACAGCAUAACAUUGGGUGACAAGAAAGACACAGAAGUGCUGAGUAAUCCAAGUACAUAGUUUAGCGACAAACUAUGCUAAGUUCAUUAUGUAAGUAAGUGGUAAACUCCCUGUUCAGCCGGCCAUAUGGCUCUUUAUAAGAGGGUUACCAGUUACUUUACAUACCCAAGUUUGUCACUAAACCAAGUACUUGGAAUCCUCUAGGUGUCUUUGGAAAGAGAGAUUUGGAAACUGAAGUCAGGUCAAGAGUUAUAGUCUCCAGGAUGAAUUAAUGUGGGAAAUUUGAUUCACGUGUCAGAGGUAUUCAACAGAAUGGUACUAGAGACGAACUCAGACAGCUGAGACAAUGGUAACUGAGAGAAAGACAGAGAGAAAGAAAAUGACUCAUGAUGGUGGUUUUGCCUUUUGUUCCUGAAACGAACGACUUUGUAAAGAUUUCCAGUUUUAAAUGCCUCUACAUGUAGCUGAGUUCACAGGCAAGGGGGAUGGGAGAGCCGGUGUUCUGCUAAGUUGAGCUGAGCUGACUGGGAAAGGGUUAGCGUGCUAAUAUUAGCAUGUUCAAAGUUUAGCCUACAGCCAAGCUGACCCUCUAACACACUUAUUGGCGCCUUUAUGGAUGUGUGAUUGCUCAGACAAUUUGGGUGACUGUACUUGUUAACUUCAUGAACUGCAUUAUGCAAUCUUUUCUUUACCUAAUCGUGGAUUCCUUUCCUGUCCUUGUGUGACUUAAAAUUGUGGUCUGUGGAAAAUGUGCAACAUGAAGGUUGCUUUUGGCCCCCAGAUUAUUGCAUGAUAUUACAGACUGGCUUUGACAAUUUGGUGCUUGGGUGGCAUCCAUAAUAUUGGGCUGUUGGCGGUUGUCCGCAAAAUAUUUUUUGCCUCCCAACUUUGUUUUGGUUGUGUUAUAACUGAAAUACUUAUAUUUUUGCCGAUAUUGUUCUUAUACUUAGUUCGAUAUCUCACAGUGUGAGUAGUAGAGAGCAUGGCCGAAAGCAGAGUUGCAUAAUGCAGUUUCAAAGGAGCACAACGUUUUGGGAAACUAUACUUUAUUUGAUGUCUACCCGCAGAGCUAGAUAACAGGAUAGCCUACCUUUCUCCUCUUGGUGUGUGAAAUAACCCAGUUUGAUACUUUUAGCUUAGCUUAGCAUAAUUCACUGUUAAUGGUUAUACCCAUAGAUGUAUAUAUGUCUAUGGUUAUACCAGUUAACCUAUAGCUCCAUGUUAGCUAUAGGAAAUCUGAAAUGAGCCAUUUCCAAUAAAUUAUGCUAUGCUAACUGUAUCAAACUGGGUUAUUGCACGUACAGAGAGGAGUGUUUGCAUCCUCUUAUCUGACUCUAGGGGUAGACAGUAAACAAACUAAUUACCCAAAAAGUUGAUGCGUUCCUUUAAAGAACCGCUUUAGUCUGCUGUCUGUUUUGCAUGAAGCACAAUUGGAUAAUCCUUCCUAAUCAUUGGAUAUAUUUACAAAAUGUUGAUGGAAUGCCAAUGAUUGUUUGAACAUGCAGUAGUUAAGAUGGAAAUAAACUAUUUUGUUUGGAAAAUUAAGUGUACAUCCAUUAGCUACAAAAGGCAUUUACGUUCUGCUAAUGAUUCUCACUUGUGGGAAUUUGUUUAUGCAUUUUGAGGAAAUGACAAAAUAAUUAGGCUACAUUAAUUGUCAUCAUUUUUUUUUUUUUUUAGUUGCCUCUGCUUGACCAGUCAGCUCAACCCCUUCUGCUUACAAUUUAUGAAUGUUUUAGUGAUAACAGAGUUAAUAGGAGAAGAACAACCAACGUAAAACUGUACAUAGUUUGUUUGUUUGAAGAGAUAAAAUGAUUAAACAAAUACAAUAAAACAGA
Molecule: long non-coding RNA, 7583 nt
Organism: Sardina pilchardus (European sardine)
Lineage: Eukaryota; Metazoa; Chordata; Actinopteri; Clupeiformes; Clupeidae
Exons: 2
Source: RefSeq, a predicted model, not a curated record